Long non-coding RNA from Hydra vulgaris (swiftwater hydra), 409 nucleotides. RefSeq lists it as uncharacterized. Lineage: Eukaryota; Metazoa; Cnidaria; Hydrozoa; Anthoathecata; Hydridae. The record is from RefSeq and is a predicted model, not a curated record.
UAAUGUUUUUGGUAAGUACAUGAUUCCAUAGCGUAAAGUUAGGUCCCGUAAAAUGUUCCGCAAUUGUCCCGCUUCACGUCCAGGACAGAGUUAACAUAAUUAAUUUUUGCAUUUAUAAUUUAAUUUAUGAAAUAAUUAAUAUUCUUUAAAUGUGGAGCACGUUUUCACCUGGUUAUCGUCGAAGAUUAAAUUUAAAUUGAUUGCUGAGGAUACUAAAUUUAGAAGAGUGCAAUUCUCAAACCGUAUUAAAGAUGUUUUGUCAAGAAUAAAGUAGUAAGGGAAAGAGUGUUUCCAGUUUGCUUUCCUUCAAAAAGUUCUCAUACUGGUCAUUUUACUAGAGAUGAUACUUAUUACUUAAGUAUAAAGACGUCCGAAACUUGUGUUGUUUAAUGAAUCUUAAUGUAAGUAA